GGCGAGGCAGCUGUGAUCAGAGAGAUCAAGAGAUAUUUUGCAAUUGCCUGGUGCUCUUAGGAUUUCACAAGGCUUGUCAGAAGCUCCUGUGCAGUCAGUACCAUUCAUUUACUGCAUUAGCUCUCCCUUGGUCUCCAUUCCUAUCUCCUGCUUUUAAAUAUAAAUGACCUUCAAGUUCUUCCGAGGAGUCAAUGAGAUGACACGUACACACAUACAAUAACUGCUUAGUAGAAGUAAGGCCCUUCUCUUC
Tupaia belangeri chinensis (Chinese tree shrew) is the source of this 250-nucleotide long non-coding RNA. RefSeq lists it as uncharacterized. Lineage: Eukaryota; Metazoa; Chordata; Mammalia; Scandentia; Tupaiidae. The transcript has 3 exons. The record is from RefSeq and is a predicted model, not a curated record.